This is a small nuclear RNA of Callithrix jacchus (white-tufted-ear marmoset), 132 nucleotides long. The record is from Ensembl. Lineage: Eukaryota; Metazoa; Chordata; Mammalia; Primates; Cebidae.
UCCAAGAGCUUCUGUCAUGAGUGGCACAUGUAAGGCAAUUCCAUUGCUCUUCAAACAGAAUCAACAUGCAAAGAUUUUGGAAGCAUUUUUUUUUUAUUUGGGAAGCUGAUGAUUGUUUGUCCCAGGGUUCUU